Molecule: ribosomal RNA, 1298 nt
Filed under: Melanopsamma pomiformis
Lineage: Eukaryota; Fungi; Ascomycota; Sordariomycetes; Hypocreales; Stachybotryaceae
Description: eukaryotic LSU rRNA
Rfam family: Eukaryotic large subunit ribosomal RNA
Source: RNAcentral
AAACCAACAGGGAUUGCCUCAGUAACGGCGAGUGAAGCGGCAACAGCUCAAAUUUGAAAUCUGGCCCUAGGCCCGAGUUGUAAUUUGCAGAGGAUGCUUUUGGCGAGGUGCCUUCCGAGUUCCCUGGAACGGGACGCCAUAGAGGGUGAGAGCCCCGUCUGGUCGGACACCAAGCCUCUGUAAAGCUCCUUCGACGAGUCGAGUAGUUUGGGAAUGCUGCUCUAAAUGGGAGGUAUAUGUCUUCUAAAGCUAAAUACCGGCCAGAGACCGAUAGCGCACAAGUAGAGUGAUCGAAAGAUGAAAAGCACUUUGGAAAGAGAGUUAAACAGCACGUGAAAUUGUUGAAAGGGAAGCGUUCACGACCAGACUUGGGCCGGUUGAUCAUCCAGCGUUCUCGCUGGUGCACUCUGCCGGCCCAGGCCAGCAUCAGUUCGCCCCGGGGGACAAAGACGGCGGGAAUGUGGCUCCUCCGGGAGUGUUAUAGCCCAUCGUGCAAUACCCUGUGGUGGACUGAGGUUCGCGCUCUGCAAGGAUGCUGGCGUAAUGGUCGUCAACGACCCGUCUUGAAACACGGACCAAGGAGUCGUCUUCGUAUGCGAGUGUUCGGGUGUCAAACCCCUACGCGUAAUGAAAGUGAACGCAGGUGAGAGCUUCGGCGCAUCAUCGACCGAUCCUGAUGUUCUCGGAUGGAUUUGAGUAAGAGCAUACGGGGCCGGACCCGAAAGAAGGUGAACUAUGCCUGUAUAGGGUGAAGCCAGAGGAAACUCUGGUGGAGGCUCGCAGCGGUUCUGACGUGCAAAUCGAUCGUCAAAUAUGGGCAUGGGGGCGAAAGACUAAUCGAACCUUCUAGUAGCUGGUUUCCGCCGAAGUUUCCCUCAGGAUAGCAGUGUUGAACUCAGUUUUAUGAGGUAAAGCGAAUGAUUAGGGACUCGGGGGCGCUAUAUUGCCUUCAUCCAUUCUCAAACUUUAAAUAUGUAAGAAGCCCUUGUUACUUAAUUGAACGUGGGCAUUCGAAUGUAUCAACACUAGUGGGCCAUUUUUGGUAAGCAGAACUGGCGAUGCGGGAUGAACCGAACGCGAGGUUAAGGUGCCAGAGUAGACGCUCAUCAGACACCACAAAAGGUGUUAGUACAUCUUGACAGCAGGACGGUGGCCAUGGAAGUCGGAAUCCGCUAAGGACUGUGUAACAACUCACCUGCCGAAUGUACUAGCCCUGAAAAUGGAUGGCGCUCAAGCGUCUCACCCAUACCUCGCCCUCAGGGUAGAAACUAUGCCCUGAGGAGUAGGCGGACGUGGAG